RNAcentral lists this ribosomal RNA (520 nucleotides) under uncultured bacterium. RNAcentral's name for it is "bacterial SSU rRNA". It matches the Rfam family "Bacterial small subunit ribosomal RNA", at positions 25 to 518 of the family's 1533-position model. The record is from RNAcentral.
CAGGACGAACGCUGGCGGCGUGCCUAAUACAUGCAAGUCGAACGGUCUUUCUAUGGAAGCUUGCUUCCACUGAGAAGAUAGUGGCGAACGGGUGAGUAACACGUGGGUAACCUGCCCAUAAGAGGGGGAUAACAUCCGGAAACGGGUGCUAAUACCGCAUAGUUUUCUUGAUCGCAUGAUCGGGAAAGGAAAGACGGCCUUUGUGCUGUCGCUUAUGGAUGGACCCGCGGCGUAUUAGUUAGUUGGUGAGGUAACGGCUCACCAAGACGAUGAUACGUAGCCGACCUGAGAGGGUGAUCGGCCACAUUGGGACUGAGACACGGCCCAAACUCCUACGGGAGGCAGCAGUAGGGAAUCUUCCGCAAUGGACGAAAGUCUGACGGAGCAACGCCGCGUGAGUGAAAGAAGGUUUUCGGAUCGUAAAACUCUGUUGUCAGAGAAGAACAAGUUGGAGAGUAACUGCUCCAGCCUUGACGGUAUCUGACCAGAAAGCCACGGCUAACUACGUGCCAGCCGCGGC